GGCGCCCGUGCCCCACGGCCGCCCCGGACGAGUUGCGCGUCGUACCCGGCCUGACAAGACGACCGCCUG
RNAcentral lists this non-coding RNA (69 nucleotides) under Actinoplanes derwentensis. Lineage: Bacteria; Bacillati; Actinomycetota; Actinomycetes; Micromonosporales; Micromonosporaceae. The record is from RNAcentral.